UUAAAUUGAAGAGUUUGAUCAUGGCUCAGAUUGAACGCUGGCGGCAGGCCUAACACAUGCAAGUCGAACGGUAACAGGAAACAGCUUGCUGUUUUGCUGACGAGUGGCGGACGGG
RNAcentral lists this ribosomal RNA (115 nucleotides) under Escherichia coli N40513. Its description in RNAcentral is "partial 16S ribosomal RNA". It matches the Rfam family "Bacterial small subunit ribosomal RNA", at positions 1 to 106 of the family's 1533-position model. Lineage: Bacteria; Pseudomonadati; Pseudomonadota; Gammaproteobacteria; Enterobacterales; Enterobacteriaceae. The record is from RNAcentral.